RNAcentral lists this long non-coding RNA (13162 nucleotides) under Setaria viridis. Its description in RNAcentral is "long non-coding RNA (SVIR_LNC006360)". The record is from RNAcentral. Lineage: Eukaryota; Viridiplantae; Streptophyta; Magnoliopsida; Poales; Poaceae.
UUUUUUUUUUUAUCCUCUCCCGAUUUCUUUUUCUUUUUCUUUUUUAUUUCUGGGCGUGGUGGGGUGUCUUUAUCUGGGGGCAGGAAAAGAGGCGGAGCGGGACACGGCGCGUGGUGAUGAGCUGGAAAUUGUUUUCCAACGGGUGCAAGGAAUUCUUUUUUUUAGUGGACAAAAUAAGGCGUUUGGAUUUGGCUGGGGAUAUGAUAUGGGAGGGAUUUUAUAUUGUGAAGAUGCAAAAUUUUAUAUCUGGAUGGAUUGAUGUGACUAAUCUGGAUGGUUUAAGGAGUAUAUUAGGAUUGGAUUCGGCAAAAAAAAAAAGAAACGAACAGCUGCUGAUGUUGAUAUAUCUGUAUCCCAAAAUAAUUUCAAUUCUUUAUGGAUUAAUUUAUAUGGAACUUGGGAAGAUUGGUCUUGGUUUGAGUUGGUUUCUUGGUCAACUAUAGAUAAAAACCCUUGUUUCAAUUUAGAGAAAAGUUAGGGGCUUUAGGCCUUAGGCCGGGUGGUAAAUUUUGCAUGCCUGGCCUUUCUGGAAAAAAAAAGUAAAUUGUGUUAUUCAUAUAACAUUUGUUAUCUAGUGCCAAUGGUGGAUUAGAUUAUGGUAUGGCUACUCUCUCUUAGUAUAACAUUUGUUAUAUACGAACGUUGGAUUAUGUUAUGAUGAUAUGGUCACUCUACAGAGUAUCUGGUUCUAUAAUCUUUUUGUAAAUUCUUAAGCAAGAUCAUAAACUCUCAAAAUGGAAACCUAAGCUUUUUAAACCUUUACAUGGCGUCCUAAAGUUGACUUCAAGCUGUCUUGGCCGUCAAGUGAUCUUAGUUCCCCUCAAUCCAUUACCGAAACAAGAAAAAAGGUCGGCUCAUCUUUGCCUCCUUAAUAGUUCGAGCAUGAAAAUAGGUUCGGAGGCAAAUAGCAAAUCAUACACACAAAAUGUUAUUUUGCAAGGGUAUGUGUGCUAAAGCAGACAGCUACUUUUCCUUACCACUGGCUUCUUUUCCCAUAAGAUCCCUUGAUCAAUAAGUGUUUUCUUUCCAUAAACUUUUUUUCCUAGAAAAUAUCCACCCGUUAACGAAUUGAGCACAGCUUAGCUAGUAAGGUUUCUUGUGGUGGAACCUGCCCACCAGAGUUAAGUCCUUGACUUGAUACUGGUGCUCGUAUUUAUCUAGAUUUAUUCCAGGAUUGAACCAACACUAAUCAUCGAUAAUUAUAAUUAUAAUAAAUAGGAUUAAAUAGGAUUUUUCUGAUCCGAUUCUGUGGGUGCCGAAUGAGGCCACUUGUAAACCUUUGGCAGAUUCCAAGUCAACUUGGAUGCUGGAUGGAUCUUGUAUAAAGCAUAUAAUGCAAAAUCUUUGUUUCAGAGACCAAGCGGCUCACGCAUGAUCGUGAGAGCCACGCAAUGAUACAUGAGUGGGUGGGUGAUGCCUCAUCGUCCACGGAAGAAAAAAAAGGAAAAAAAAAACAACGCCCGCUGCCUUUGGCUGUCGCUUGACGGCGACGGUCUCUUAUCCGGGAGACGUCCGUCGUGGCGUCUUGUAUUUUGUCUCUGGUCGGAAAUGGCUCUUGCGCCUCCAAGAACCGUCUCCAAUGGCGCGCGCGAGUCACGACUCACGCGACUCACGAGGCAGCGUGUCCGCACGCUGCGCGCGACGUCGGCUAGCUGCCGUGGCGGGGUCGCUUUGCCACGUCGACGUUGGCACGUCGUCGGCUCGUCGUCGUCGCCUUCGGAUAGCGUUCGGCGGGGCUCGGCAGGAGUGGGCAAAAGCAGGAACGGUUGCAACGGUGGGCCAAAAACCCGUAAUACUCAGGCCCAGUAGUCAGUGUACUCGCGGGCCGAGGUCGAAGCCGGCCCACGGGGCGGGCCCCCUCUGCGUCCGCCUGGCCCAGAUCCAGCCUCGGUGGCGGCGCGUCACCUGCGCGCCGUCGGGGUCGGGGGAGACGCGUUAGGCAACCGGCCGCGCCUCCUUUCCCGUUGCUUCGUCCGGAAGCAGGAGGCUGCAGCCCUGGCCAUGCCGGUGCGGUACUGCGGUGUGUCCCUUCCGCUGCCGACACCUCACCGGUUGCCGCCGUCCCCAUGAACUUUAGGAAGCUUCGAGAUGCUUCCCGGGACACGUGGCCGGCCCACGUAGAGCUGCAGCUGCUCGAGCACGUUCUUGGCGCGUCUUCCCAUCCCAUAGACGCGGCAUCGAGCGGCAGCGGCUACGAAAUCAGGGGAAACCCAGGGGGCGUGGCGCGAAAACAGCCACCGGCCCGGUCGGUUCCGCUCCCUCCCCAAAUCCACGCACGCCGGGGUGGUCGACGUCGCCGCGACGCGACGCGACGCUUCCAUCGGUCCCUCCCCACCUCUCUGGCUUUCCACGACACGGGCUCCCUGCUUGGCUGCCCCACCUGCUCUCUGUUUCUUUCCCUUCCCCGCGAGGCUGCGAUCCCACCACCCCCGCGCAUCCAGCGAGCGGCGGUCGGAGAACAUGGGCGGCGAGGACGACGCGGCCGCGGUGCGCGCAGAGGAGUCCGUCUCGGGGGGCGUCGACGUCUGGAGCGACGCCGUCUCCUCCCACGACCCGGACCACCUGCUCGUCAUGGUCCACGGCAUCCUCGGCAGGUAAAUCAAAACGCAUACCACCUCCGCUCUCCGGGGGGCCGGGAUUCGUAGCUGAUUCGAAGCCGCGGCUGCUGGAAUGUGCUGGUUCUGAAAUCGAUUGUCGCGGAUUGGUAGUUUGGUACGGAAUGUGGAGCGGCGGUCGAGCGAGGGGUCCCCUUCGCCGCCGCGCCUCAGCUCACGGUUCGCAAAAUGGGGAAUUUUGUCGUCGGCGGAGGCCGUCUUAGAGCUGGAAGCCGGGGGGCAUGUGCGGUCCGGUUGCGCAGCUGGUGAUUGCACAUACUCUCUGAGCAUUGCGUGUUUUUGCUGUGCUUUGGCGGUAAAACCAGAUGGUACAUUUUGCAUUUCGGUGGAAUUUGUUCUAGAGCCUGCGGUUGGGGGCAGCGGCCUGCCGAUACGACAUUGGGUCUGGUCUAGCGUGCUGCCUUUUUGGCUUGUGGUAGCGUCUACGAAAUUGGACUACUGGCUCACGUUAGCGUUAAGGCCAGCUGACAGCUAUCUUUCCUGCUCCACUUGAGAGAACCAUUUGAUUAGUAGGAAAUGGAAAUGACUACGGCCUCUGCAUAAGUAUCGGCCUGUUUCGUUACAAGUUUUUUCAGCCAUCCAGCUGAGCAAAUAAACGGGGAACAGCUGAUACAGAUAUGAGUAAAAAUAAAGGGAAAGAACCAUUUUUUGAUACAAAAGCAGUUUGCUUUUCUUAAGCUAGGCAUUUAGACUUUAGCGUAUUCUGCUAAUAUAUUAGCAAAAUGUUCACAAUCCUUCCUUCAGUAUUCAAGCUGCUAUGAUGAAUAAAAAGAUUAAUGACCCACUGUUACAAUGAAUAGAUAGCUGCGCUAAGCAUCUAAUUUAAUUGCUCCAAACCUGAAAUUUCCCAUGCAGUAUAGGCAGGGUCAAAGAUUCCUCUACAAGGCACAAAGUAGGGGACUAUUGUUUGUCAUUGGUUACAUAUCCAAGCAUAUGCAAAGCUGCAAGUGUUUUGGUUAGGGUAUCUGGUUGUUCUCUGCAGCUGAGAGACUGAUCUUUCUCAUUUAUAUAUGGUGCUCAUGUGCAGUGAGCAUGUUUAUAAUUACAUUUCCCUGAACUUAUGAACCCCAUCCCUUAUUUUUCUUUUGUAUUUUCAUUCACUUGGCUCUUUUUCUUUGAACAGUACUGCUGAUUGGCAAUAUGCUGCUAAUGAGUUUGUAAAGCAACUCCCUGACGAUGUAAUCGUGCACUGUAAGUUGCGUCACUUUGUACUAUCUGUUGCCAAGUUUAGUUUCUGUUGCAUUUAAUUUUUGCUUCAAUUUCUUAUUUCCAUAAUUAUGCUCUUUCCUUGUUUUAUUUGGAAACAGAUUUUUCUGUGAAAUUAGCAAAUAUGAUAUGUUGCGUUGUGCAGAUGAAUAAGCUGACCUAGGUGAUUUGGCAUUUAGAGUAACAAUGACAGUGACACAAAUUGCUGUGAACAUUUUGGCUUUAGUGUUAAGAUCAAAUUAAUGUGAUUGAUCGGCCAAUGAGAAUGAUUCUUUUUUCUUUACUGCGGAGCUGACACAAUUGCAUAUCUUUUAGCUUUGUUCCAUUCUUAACUGUGGGCAAGAACUUGUUGGUCAGAUCUGCAUGCAGCUUUGCUGCAUCUGGGUAGGCCUAGUUUGGAACAUUUUUUCAUCAUAAAGCAAAUUCAUUGAUUUAGAACAAGGAUUUUUUGGGAAAUGUAGCCUAUAAAAGAACUCAAUUUUACUACUGUGAGCUUAUAUUUGUGAAUGUUUCACCUCAUAUAUGCUCAUCUCUAUGUUAGAGUACCUAUAAAAGAACUAACUACUCUCAUUGAUGCUCGCUAUUUGUGAAGAGUUUAUCCAAAAACUUUGAGUAUUUCUAUGUGAUUAACAUAGCGUAAUGCAAAUUGCUCCCUUUCUGAAUAUGUAACUUGAAGGAAGCUGUAAUAUUGGUUAGACCCCUUAUCCUGCUUGUCUAGCUUGCGAUGUACAGACUUAUUUGUUCCAUUUUGCAGGUAGUGAGAAAAAUUCAUCAAUGUUAACUCUAGAUGGAGUUGACGUCAUGGGGGAACGCUUAGCAGAUGAGGUAAAUAUUGCAGGCAGCUAAUGGGUUGAUAAUAAAAAAUACUAAGAAGCUAGUUGUUGCUUCAUAGUAUUUUUUUUAUUAAAAUUUUAUUCUGCCUCAAAUUGUUAUCUGGUACAAUCCCUAUUGUCUGAAAACAAACACACAUGUUUAGAUGCUCACUUGCGUUCUCCUCUUACUCAGGUGCUUGAUGUUGUUAGUCGAAGGCCAGAACUCACCAAAAUUUCUUUUCUUGCACACUCCGUUGGAGGAUUAGCUGCAAGAUAUGCAAUUGCAAAACUUUAUCGACAUCCAGAUGGUGUGUCUGAUGGAAAUGCUAAAGGAACCAUCUGUGGAUUGGAAGCAAUUAACUUUAUUACUGUAGCAACGCCUCACCUUGGUUCACGAGGAAAUAAACAGGUUCUGCUUUUGACUGACUCUUUUACGGUGAUCUACAUAUCUCUAGACUCUUAUUUGUUUUACCACGAAGAUGAUACCUGAAAGCUGAUAUUGUAUCCAUCUUCAGAACAACUGAGGAAUCAUUUGCUCAUGUCCUCUAUAAUUCCAAUUUUCUGCAAAGAAAAGUUGGGUGUUUCUUUUAAUGCUCCAUACAUCAAGAGUCGGACUAGAAGCUAGAAUAUAUGUAGAAAGAGUAGAUGCUAGCCUAUUUCUUUCACUGUCAUCAGAGCUUUCCAAGCAUAGGGAAGGGCCACACAGAGAUGGCUAAAACCCUCCAAACCUUUCGUUGAAGAGAAAAAAAAACAUCCUUUUCUUUUACUGGAAAAACUCACACAGCUGUUGCCAGGCUUCUUGGCUUUUACGCUUACAACCACUAAAAACUAAAAGGUUCCAAAAUGUCACUGUUUUCUCCCUACCUUGCUUGGAGUAAUCUUACCCAAUCAUGUACCUGGAAAUCUCAUCAGAAUUUCGUUUGGCAUACAAAUCUUUCGGUCCUGCUCCAGUUUGUAUGCAAAUUACAAUAAGCCAUUGGCACAACUCAUCUCCACUUUUCAUUUGAUGUGAACUUCCUCACCAUUGCAAAUUAGGUCCCCCUCCUGUUUGGAUCCCUUGCGAUGGAAAAGGUUGCUUGCCGGGUCGUCCAUUGGAUAUUUAGGAGAACUGGCAAACAUCUCUUUCUAACUGACGAUGACGAAGGGCAACCACCACUGCUGCAGCGUAUGGUUGAAGAUCAUGGCGAUCUCUACUUUAUGUAAGGUUUAUCUUGCUCAUCUGUUUUGCAUUUUUGUUCUAUUUCUAGUCCCAAUAAUAUAUUGUUUAAUUUUGCCUUGCCUAUUCUGUGAUAAUUAUACUAAUAAUGUUCUACCUGCACCUUUUACAGAUCUGCUUUGCGAGCAUUUAAGAGACGUGUGGUGUACGCAAAUGCUGACUGUGAUCGUAUCCUUAGUAUUUGCUAUAUUUACAAUUUUCUUUGUGGUGUUUAUACUAUUUGUUUUAUUUUUGUAUGCUUUUGGCUAGGCUCUUCUUUAAUGCAUGAAAUCAGAUAUUGUUGGCUGGAGAACAUCAUCUAUUAGAAGAAACACUGAGCUUCCUGAGGUAUUUUACUGACUUCAUAGCUCUGGGUACUGUCUAGGAAGGACUAUGUAGUUUUCUAUAGCACCAUUCUCAUAUGGAAAUGCUUCUUUUACUUCUGAUCUGCAGUUGGCAGUAUCGUCAUCUGAGAAGUACCCCCACAUUGUACAUGAGGAGUACUCAGAAGAAAUUGAUGAUGAGAAGUGCCAAGAUUCCAUGACAGACUGUAAUUUGGACAUUCUUGAAGGUAAUUUUCUUGAGUUGCAUGCAGAAUACUAUUUUCCUUUUUUUUUCCUGUUACAAUUAAAUGAUGCUUCAGUGCUAUGUGGAAAAUAUGAUAUUGUUUCGUUAUCUUUAAAUGUGGAUUGCCUUAAUAUAGGUUUUAAAAAAAUAAACUUACCAGAUUAGUCUUGUGAACAGUGAGGCAGUGAGCCACUGUGUCAUGACAUUUGUAUUAGUGUGGCAAAGGUACUGGCUUUUGUGUCUUGCCACCAGGUUAUAAGUAUUUUCAUUUUCAAUUGGAUAAUGAUGUGGCAUCUAAACUGUUGUCAUGGUUUUGCUAAUUUAUCCCCAUACCAUAAUGAGCCUGUCCUGAACACCAUAUGUACUGUGGGACAUUUCACAUGGUGGCAGGCGUGCUGCAUAUGGAAAUCCCUUGAUUCAUGAGCAACGAGGGUAGGGCGUUGAUAUUAAAUCCUAGGGUAGUUGAUCUGUUUUGAAGUUCCAGACUGAAGGAGCACCUAAAUUGGACGACUAGAGGACUAUGUCUAUUUGUCAUACGUGUGGAAGAAUUUACAUAUUAUACAUUGACUGUGACCAUGAGGCUUACUUUUAUUAUUAAAGUGCAUAUCUCAUAGUUGCGAGACAUGGAAAUGUUGUCUGAAAUCUGUUAGUUCAUGGAAGCUGCCUUUGUUGUCUUCUUAAUGCUGUUAGCUCAAAUUGUUUUUAUGUGCAAGUCCUCUGUGACCCUUUAGAAAGCAUAGUGAUGACUUGUUAUGAUUCCAUUGUUUCACAUAGGUAAGUAACAAGAUUCAUCAUAGCUUUAGAUACAGCAACCCGUGUUUUCUGACUGCAUCAUCGUUUUUAUUUGAUAUCAUGUGCUAUUGACUUCUGAAUGUAAAAGCAAGAACCCUGGAUGUUAGUCAUAGAUAAUUAGCAAGAAGGUCUCUGGUUUCAAAACAAGUAGUUUCAUGACCCAAAUUCAACAUUUGACUGGAUGACCGCAAUCCUGGUGUUGCAUUGUAAAGGCCAUAUUGGUCCUAUAUUUCUCACCAUGUUACUGCUUGCUCACUAUAUAACAUUGGACCUGGAACCUAAAGACUGAUUUUUUUGGACCCUUUGUUUGUGUGAUAGACAGUUAUCUUUUGUUAUCUAGUAUUGCAUUGAAAUGCUUUUGGUGCGCUUCUAUGUUUAUUCUAGUUGUAGGCAGUAAGCUAGAGGAGUCAUGACUUCUAUGGCACGAAACAGUUACAUAACAAGAAUAUGUAAUGUAAUAAAAAAAAAAGUCUACCGCAAAUUAAAGAUGAACCAACAGAACACGGUGUGUAUGCAGCUUAGAAGCAUGGUUAUAUGUUGUUGUUGUUCUGAAGCUUAGCUGCUUAGGAGGAUUCGUGGAGCUGACACCUUAGCGAAGUCCAGUUCAUUUGUCUGAAAAUUCUGCACAUGCAUUUUGUUGAAGCGAUUGGAAUUGUAGUGUCGUGGAUCUAACAGUAUCUCCUGACUCUCAUCCUGCAGAAAAGAUGGUGACGGGUCUCCGAAGAGUUUCGUGGGAGAAGGUGGAUGUCAGCUUCCAGUCGAGCAUAACGAGCUUCGCAGCGCACAGCAUUAUCCAGGUUUCCACAAUCGGCUUCGCUCCCUUCACUAUCUUCCUUCAUGUACUAAUAUGCAAUAAUCCUGCGGUGCAACCCUGUGAAAUCAUCAAAACCUUCCCUCCUCUUGUUGUUACGUCAGGUGAAGUACGCGUUCAUGAACGAUGGAGCGGACGUGAUACAGCACAUCAUAGAUCACUUCCAGCUCUGAGAAUGUCCCCCCUGGCGGUGGUAGGAGAGAAGGUUUUUUUUCCUUGUUGACACUCGGCACGUACGUUCGCUUGGCGUGCUGAUCCAGUAGCUAGCAGCCGCACGGCAAAAUACGGAGCUGCCGAGUGCAGAUGCUGCUGAGCUCAUGGUAGUACGAGGGGGUGUUUGAUCCCGGGCUAAACUUUAACCCCUGUCACAUCGAAUGUUUGACACUAAUUAGGUGUAUUAAACAUAGGCUAACUACAAAAUCAAUUUCAUGACCCCUAGGCUAAAUCGUGAGACGAAUCUAUUAAGUCUAAUUAGUCCAUGAUUUGACAAUAUGGUGCUAUAGUAAACAUUCGCUAAUGAUGGAUUAAUUAGGUUUAAUAGAUUCGUCUCGCGAUUUAGCCUAGAGGUUCUACAAUUAGUUUUGUAAUUAGCUCAUGUUUAGUCCUUAUAAUUAGCAUCCGAAUAUCUGAUGUGACACGGAUUAAACUUUAGCUUCAGGAUCCAAACACCCCAUUAGAUUUCAGCAGAUGCUUUGUCCUUGUGUCACGUGACAAUGUGUUGAGACUGUACAUGAGAGCAGUUCCACAGAAGGGAGGAGAGAGAAAUAGAGAGAGAACAUUAAUGUUGUACAUGUAUGAUACAUUUGUGCAAGAGGAAAUCGAAACCGUCCGUCCGUUGAUGCCUGUAGUGUUUCCCCAAACUCUUGCAAUCCGAAGGAGGAGAAAAGGAAAUGGUUCCACUUUGCCGAGCCUACACGUGGAAUGAUUACCGCUCCGGUAACUGGUGCGUGCACCGGCCAUUGCUGGAAUUCGCCGGACCGGAUCGGAGCGGAGGUUCCGCAUGCGCGAUCCGUUCACAACACAAAAGGCGGUCUGAGCAGGAAGCUCGGGUGCUCUGAAACGGCUGGAAAGGACAGUAGACUACUGACCCAGAACAAGAACGCACUAGCGCCGACAUGCCCGCACUCCUCUGUGGACGCGCACGCACGUACGUACGCGACAAUACUGGAGACCGUCGGCGGCGGACCAGCCGGAGCCGACGGAGCAGCCGCGCAGUACGGCCCGUGCAUCGAGGGCACGAGACCGUCACGUCCAGCGCUCCUACGGUGUGUCGCGUUCCCCCAACACGCGGCACAUUGAAAUACUCGCCGGUGCGUUCCUGCUUGGCUGUGAGAGCUCCGCGUUCACAAACAACAGCUGCGGGGCCGACGACGACGACGCGGCCGACGCUAGCUGGGGGUUGGGCAGCGGCAGGGCAGGUGCUUCCUAAUCCUACGCGUCGCGUGCGCGCGCGGGCCGCGGAGGACGGAGGGUGUGUACGUGCGCCGCGCCGCCGGAGAUCCGAUCCCGAUGCUAGCUGCCGUUGGUGCCGGUCAAGUCAAGCGGAAUACAAGUACAAGGGCCGCCGGGGCUCUCCUCGUCGUUGACAACCGAUGAUCGUACGUGCAGGCGCCGACAACUUGGGGCGACUUUUGGCGAGUCCCUACUCUCUUUUCCAUGCAUCAACCCGACCGAACAAAGUCUCUGGAACUGGUAGGCUGCUAGCUGCUUUCCCCAAUUGAUCUCUGCGGAGCAGCCAUGCCAAAUUGUCAACUACUGUAUAUUUCUCUUGUGCGCGUUUAAGUGUAGGACGAUCGUUGUUGUACCAAAGUGUGUGUAAUUACUCUGCUUACAAAGUGCGCCGCUCCUCCCUCUUUGCAAAGUGCAUGUACUGCAAAGUAAUUCCAAUAGUUUUCUAAAAAAUUCUUCCCAAAACUAUAUAUUGGAGGCUCUUUCAAAUUUUUUUUCCAAAAAACAUAUCAACCCACAGCAGAUCGCUCAUAACUAACCCCUAAUAUUUCAAAACAGACCGUAACAUCAUAAUUAGACCUAUUGGACUGCUCACCUCCCCCUCAUGCAUGCACCCCCCUCACGAUCUCCAGAGCACCCUCAUCCUUCUUGUCCACCUGUUCUUCAUCCUCACUGCUUGAGGAAGCCUCACUCGACUCCUCUUCACUACUCUCCGACUCUUCCUCGUUGCUUUCCUGCUUCACCUUGCCGCCUGACACCGCGGUAUUCAUCUCAACAUCAGCAGGGGCGGCAGCCAUCUCCAUAGCAACCGACAUCCUCUUUCACAGUCAAAUCACCAAAUCCCUAACACCAUCUCAGCCUUCUCUCCGAUUUCGCCGCUGCAAAAAUCCCCGGCCUGGCAGAGCGACUCGUCCACUUGGACGGGCUCCGCCUUCACACCAAACUCGCAGGAAUUGUGCGCCGCCGAACCAUCCGAGACCUCUCCAAUGCUGUCGGCGCAAGCUGUCGUCGUCGGCGCCGGCACGUGAGGAGCCGCCUCCUCCUCGGUACAUCCGAGGCCCUUGGCUAGGCUCCCAGCUCGCCCGACAUGGCCGGGUCGAAGUCCACGAGCCACCCCUCGACGGGGUCGAAGCCGACGCAUGUUGGAGUCCCGGCAAAUCUCGCGGGAAGAGACUCUCGCGCGCGGGGAGGGAGCAAUUGGGGAGUUGGUUGCUUCGAAAAUAUGUGCGGCGACCGGACUCUGUUUUGGCGUCGCAAAUAGUCCAAAGAAGUUUUUGGAGCUGUUGGAGUUUUUUUCUCCCUAAACGAGAUAUUAGGAGUAGGAUACAGAUUUGUUGGAGUUUUUUUUUCUCCCUAAACGAGAUAUUAGGAGUAGGAUACAGAUUUUUUUUGAGUUGCUCUUAGAUUCGUUCCAAACCAAACUUCUCCAACUUGAACCCAAUCAAUAUGGGGAAGGAAAAAAAUGACACUAAUAUUUCCAACACCCAAUUAACGUAUCCCUUCGAUGGAGUACCUUUUGUUUUUUUUAAAAAAACUUAAAGCGAAUUACUGUGCGAUUACUGUGGUUGCUCCAUCGUAAACGCCAUACGGAUACCAUACGUUACGGAAGCGCGCGCGACGACCAUGACGACGACUAGUCACGCCAGGUCGAGCCGGCGGCUCAGCACAGCGCCAUCUUAACCACCGGCCGGUAGUCCUUGUCUUCCUUCGGGCAACAGCAAAUGCAAACGCAUCACUGCCGGGCGGGCCCGUGACCCGGAGAGGGACGUGUCCUCCCGCCCUGCACAGCGACGUUGAUUCUUCCGUCCGUCGGCGCAGCUAGCGCAACCAGUGGUACCGGCCGGACGGACGAUUUCCAAGCUCCUUCCAACCCCCCCGGAUCGGACCCCGGCUGAUCGUCCGUGGCCACAUGCGCAGAGGGAGGCGUACGCCCGUCGCCCUUGCACUGCACUGGGGGUCAGGAUGAUAUGAUCAAUCCCCCUGCGAGCAUUGGCUAGCUGCUGAACUCCCGGCCCGGAAGGCAACACCUCGGUCAGUCGCCGUGUCCCGGUAGCCCGGGAGCCGACCCGGUCUCUUCCUUUCAGCCGGGGUGGUAGCGAAAUAAAGCUACUACCUCACUCCAUCUUUCCCCGGACUAAUUAAGAGGGACAGCAAUGUUUUGGGAUAACGAAGGUGUAACCGGCUUUUUGCAUUAACUAGCGAUGCGCAUAGGCAUGGACAGAGGAUUGAUGUACCCAGUGGCGGAGGCAGGAUUUUCACCCUAGGCAUUUAUUGUAGAAAGACAGUGGUAUCGGGAUAGUAAUUGUUGGACCUCUAUGCAUAGUAUAUGAAUACUAGAAGUAUAUAUAUGCUAAACAUUUUAUCCAAAGUUAGGGGUAUUCACGUGAAUGGAUGUACCCUUCUAGUAGAUUAAUUUUUACACAGAUUACUGAUCUUAAGAAAUGAUCCGGUGCAUAUAGAUAGGGACCGUUCUUGUAGAAUACAAAACCACCAUCUUCUCUCCUCUUCCACCCGCGAUUCACGUUACAACUACGAAGGGCGUGCUUCUUUUUAACGACGGUAUUAUGCUUGGAACAUAUUUCCUCUUUUUCCAAACGAACAAUGUAUUUCAUUUUGUUAGGAUAGGACUUUGACCCACGGUUACUCGACUAGCGUAUUGUUUAUGUGAUGCGAAACCAUAAUUAUAUGCAGGGGAGGACCUAUAUUACUCUGUUUGGAACAUGUUUCCUUUGUUUCAAACUGUAUAAUGUAUUUCCUUUUGUUAGCCCACGAUUACUUUGAUUAACAUAUUAUUUAUGUGAUAUGAAUUAUAUGUAACAUUGUAAUAACAUUAAGUUUUUAAGCAACAUUAUAUAUGGGUUGAGUAAUUAUUGAUUACAACUAUGUUUAACGAUUCCACUUAUCAAUUCAAACAAAGGAGGGUACUACGUAACAUCACACACUUUCCAACAGGUGUGGGCCUAUCCUACAAGUCUAGAACCUAGCUAUAUUUUCCGCUUAUAUUGGAUAUAUGCUUCUUUCCGUGGGGAUCAUCGAGAUUGUCCCCAUAAUUGAUGGCUAGGGUGGUUGUCCCCUAAAAGACUAGGGCUAUUUGAGGGAUACAGAUGCAUUAUUGGCAUAGAGACAAUCAGAGAUAAUGCAACAAUACCACUAUGUUUUCUUUGCCUCCAUAUUUUUUAAUUAAAUUGUUGAUAUUGUGUGAAUUGCAUAAUCUUUUUUCUUUAGAACAAAGAAGAUGCUUUGAGAUAUCUAAAAUACCAAUCUCUCCGUCGAAACACUGAAAGGAUUCUUUUUUAAAUUCAGUAGGAAACAAAUUGAUCUAUGUGAAAUUCUUGUGAAAAUUCCAGCUGGUAGAACCAGGCCAAAUGGUGCUACAUCUACAAAGGGCAACCUGUUCCACCAUGUAGUAAGAACACAACAGGUGAUGUAACACUAUAUGCAGUAACCAAUUAAUCAGUUAAUCUCUCUUCGUCUAUACAAUGUUUUCAUUUACCUACCAAUUCAUUGUUUGGUAUAUCCACCAACCAACAACAAGACGUCGUACUUUGUACUUGGUAAAAGUCGCGAGCGACCAAAUGUACCAAAAAAUAAGUUAAAAAAUUCCCCAGCAAGUCAACCCCCAUUAUCUGUUGACCAAACAAUUCUCUUGCCGCCGCCGACGUUUGCGAGUCCAGACGAGCUCUCAAUCGCGUGAUUCGCGUCGCCGUUGCGGCCG